This 443-nucleotide ribosomal RNA is filed under the name uncultured bacterium. RNAcentral's name for it is "bacterial SSU rRNA". It matches the Rfam family "Bacterial small subunit ribosomal RNA", at positions 355 to 821 of the family's 1533-position model. The record is from RNAcentral.
UCGGGAAUUUUGGGCAAUGGGCGAAAGCCUGACCCAGCAACGCCGCGUGAAGGAUGAAGUAUUUCGGUAUGUAAACUUCGAAAGAAUAGGAAGAAUAAAUGACGGUACUAUUUAUAAGGUCCGGCUAACUACGUGCCAGCAGCCGCGGUAAUACGUAGGGACCAAGCGUUGUUCGGAUUUACUGGGCGUAAAGGGCGCGUAGGCGGCAAUUCAAGUCAUCUGUGAAAUCUCCGGGCUUAACUCGGAACGGUCAGAUGAUACUGCAAAUCUCGAGUCCGAUAGAGGUGAGUGGAAUUCCUAGUGUAGAGGUGAAAUUCGUAGAUAUUGGGAAGAACAUCAGUUGCGAAGGCGGCUCUCUGGACUCAAACUGACGCUGAGGCACGAAAGCGUGGGUAGCGAACAGGAUUAGAUACCCACGUAGUCCCUGAGCGGGCUGGCAAGGC